AUGCGGGGACAUCCUGUACUGUUAAAUAGAGCACCUACCCUGCAUAGAUUAGGCAUACAGGCCUUUCAACCCACUUUAGUAGAGGGGCGUACUAUUUCUUUACACCCAUUAGUGUGUAAGGGUUUCAAUGCGGACUUUGAUGGAGAUCAAAUGGUUGUUCAUCUACCUUUAUCCUUGGAAGCUCAGGCAGAAGCCCGUUUACUUAUGUUUUGUCAUAUGAAUCUCUUAUCUCCCGCUAUUGGGGAUCCUAUUUGUGCACCAACCCAAGACAUGCUUAUCAGGCUUUAUGUAUUAACGAUUUGA
This 303-nucleotide ribosomal RNA is filed under the name Triticum aestivum (bread wheat). Its description in RNAcentral is "partial small subunit ribosomal RNA". Lineage: Eukaryota; Viridiplantae; Streptophyta; Magnoliopsida; Poales; Poaceae. The record is from RNAcentral.